Diceros bicornis minor is the source of this 1018-nucleotide long non-coding RNA. RefSeq lists it as uncharacterized. Lineage: Eukaryota; Metazoa; Chordata; Mammalia; Perissodactyla; Rhinocerotidae. The record is from RefSeq and is a predicted model, not a curated record. The transcript is spliced from 3 exons.
UACAACUUAGUCUCUCCGCAGGGUAAGCCCUUCAGCUGGGGUACAGUAGGUGAUUGGAGGCCAAGUGACAGACCCUGUGACUCCUAAUUCCCAGUGCACGGUUAGGCCCCUCAGCCCAUUGGACAUAAAUGGUGGUGGUGUUUGUGAAUCAUCUUGAUGGCAGUGUGGAAAGUAUAGGGGACGUGUGGUGGGAGAUGUCAUGAUAGUGUCAGAAGGAGCUGUGUGUGAGAUUACAAUGCUGAAGGGGAAGGACUGGAGGCGGGUGCAGUGGGUGUGUGACCAACAAUGGUCAAUGAAGGGACAGCUGGGGUGUAACUGGGGAAAUCAGGGACCAGCAGAAGUAAUGUGCUUAAAACAAGACACCAGGGCAGGCCCAGUGGCUUAGUGGUUAAGUGCGCGCGCUCCACUACUGGCGGCCCAGGUUCAGAUCCCGGGCGCGCACCCAUGCACCGCUUCUCCAGCCAUGCUGAGACUACAUCCCACAUACAGAAACUAGAAGGAUGUGCAACUAUGACAUACAACUAUCUACUGGGGCUUUGGGGAAGAAAAAAAGGAGGAGGAUUGGCAAUAGAUAUUAGCUCAGAGCUGAUCUUCCUCAGCAAAAAAAAAGAGGAGGAUCAGCACGGAUGUUAGCUCAGGGCUGAUCUCCCUCACAAAGAAAAUAAAUAAAUAAAAUAAAAUAAUAAAACAAGACACCAGGCCCAAAUGGAGCCACUUAGCCUAAGUCUCACGUCAACAAGCCGAGAUUUAAUUAGACUUUUUGCCCUCCCAGGAAGAGAAUCAUAUACCAGUCAAUUGGGAAUCGCCUGAUGAGCAGCAGUUUGGUGGCAGCAGUGGGAUCCAAAGGAGACAUCUGAUGGCUUAGGGGAUGAGAAACACAGGCAUUGGUACCCGGAAAACCUUUGAGUUCUCCAUCCUUUUCACUGUUUUUGAGAGCCGUGGCGCCAGCUGCAGAGCUCCAGCCAGCAGCAGAAGCAGAGCAGUGGGCAGUGGUGGAGGUAGAGCUGGGUCCAGCUCC